AGUGAACGCUGGCGGUAGGCCUAACACAUGCAAGUCGAACGGCAGCACAGUAAGAGCUUGCUCUUACGGGUGGCGAGUGGCGGACGGGUGAGGAAUACAUCGGAAUCUACUUUUUCGUGGGGGAUAACGUAGGGAAACUUACGCUAAUACCGCAUACGACCUACGGGUGAAAGCAGGGGAUCUUCGGACCUUGCGCGAUUGAAUGAGACGAUGUCGGAUUAGCUAGUUGGCGGGGUAAAGGCCCACCAAGGCGACGAUCCGUAGCUGGUCUGAGAGGAUGAUCAGCCACACUGGAACUGAGACACGGUCCAGACUCCUACGGGAGGCAGCAGUGGGGAAUAUUGGACAAAGGGCGAAAGCCUGACCCAGCCAUACCGCGUGGGUGAAGAAGGCCUUCGGGUUGUAAAGCCCUUUUGUUGGGAAAGAAAAGCAGCAGGUUAAUACCCCGCUGUUCUGACGGUACCCAAAGAAUAAGCAACGGCUAACUUCGUG
This 492-nucleotide ribosomal RNA is filed under the name uncultured bacterium. RNAcentral's name for it is "partial 16S ribosomal RNA". It matches the Rfam family "Bacterial small subunit ribosomal RNA", at positions 29 to 507 of the family's 1533-position model. The record is from RNAcentral.